GGUGAGUAACGCGUAUCCAACCUGCCCAUCACUUGGGGAUAACCUUGCGAAAGUAAGACUAAUACCCAAUGACGUCUCUAGAAGACAUCUGAAAGAGAUUAAGGAUUUAUCGGUGAUGGAUGGGGAUGCGUCUGAUUAGCUUGUUGGCGGGGUAACGGCCCACCAAGGCGACGAUCAGUAGGGGUUCUGAGAGGAAGGUCCCCCACAUUGGAACUGAGACACGGUCCAAACUCCUACGGGAGGCAGCAGUGAGGAAUAUUGGUCAAUGGGCGAGAGCCUGAACCAGCCAAGUAGCGUGCAGGAUGACGGCCCUAUGGGUUGUAAACUGCUUUUAUAAGGGAAUAAAGUGAGUCUCGUGAGACUUUUUGCAUGUACCUUAUGAAUAAGGACCGGCUAAUUCCGUGCCAGCAGCCGCGGUAAUACGGAAGGUCCGGGCGUUAUCCGGAUUUAUUGGGUUUAAAGGGAGCGUAGGCCGGAGAUUAAGCGUGUUGUGAAAUGUAGACGCUCAACGUCUGCACUGCAGCGCGAACUGGUUUCCUUGAGUACGCACAAAGUGGGCGGAAUUCGUGGUGUAGCGGUGAAAUGCUUAGAUAUCACGAAGAACUCCGAUUGCGAAGGCAGCUCACUGGAGCGCAACUGACGCUGAAGCUCGAAAGUGCGGGUAUCGAACAGGAUUAGAUACCCUGGUAGUCCGCACGGUAAACGAUGGAUGCCCGCUGUUGGUCUGAAUAGGUCAGCGGCCAAGCGAAAGCAUUAAGCAUCCCACCUGGGGAGUACGCCGGCAACGGUGAAACUCAAAGG
RNAcentral lists this ribosomal RNA (801 nucleotides) under uncultured bacterium. RNAcentral's name for it is "bacterial SSU rRNA". It matches the Rfam family "Bacterial small subunit ribosomal RNA", at positions 105 to 907 of the family's 1533-position model. The record is from RNAcentral.